CAUUAUUCCAAAAAAACGCACGUAUCGAAAAACGAAUAAAAAUGAUAAAAUUAUUCCAGAAAAAUUGAUUUUUAUGGGAAAUUCAAUUUUUAUCGAAGAUAAUAAUAUAAUAUUAAGUAUAGUUUAUUUGUUUAUUUAAAUAUCUCUUUGGUUACCUAGAAUAUGAUGCAGCAAAGAGAAUUCGGAACACUUUUUCAGAAUGAAAAAUCUGAAAAAUAUAAAAAUGAAAUUUUAAAUUCAACAGAAAAAAAAAAUAUAGCAAUUUCAAAAGACAAUCCGCUAUUAAUAUCAGCUGAUUUGUUAGAAAAGAGUUUUCAUAAGAAAAAUUUGGAAC
Long non-coding RNA from Daktulosphaira vitifoliae (grape phylloxera), 334 nucleotides. RefSeq lists it as uncharacterized. The record is from RefSeq and is a predicted model, not a curated record. The transcript is spliced from 3 exons. NCBI's taxonomy places the organism in Eukaryota, Metazoa, Arthropoda, Insecta, Hemiptera, Phylloxeridae.